Molecule: signal recognition particle RNA, 292 nt
Filed under: Callithrix jacchus (white-tufted-ear marmoset)
Lineage: Eukaryota; Metazoa; Chordata; Mammalia; Primates; Cebidae
Description: Metazoan signal recognition particle RNA (ENSCJAG00000082691.1)
Rfam family: Metazoan signal recognition particle RNA
About the family: The signal recognition particle (SRP) is a universally conserved ribonucleoprotein. It is involved in the co-translational targeting of proteins to membranes.
Source: RNAcentral
GCUGGGCAUGGUGGUGCAUGCCUGUAAUCCCAGCUACUCAGGAGGCUGAGGCAGGAGAAUUGCCUGAACCCAGGAGGCGGAGGUUGCAGUGAGCUGAGAUCGUGCCAUUGUACUCCAGCCUGGGUAACAAGAACGAAACUCCAUCUCAAAAAAAAAAAAAAGAAGAAAACUCUGUUUCUUUUUUUUGUUUUUUUUUUUUUGAGAUGGUUGUUGCUCAGGCUGGAGUACAAAGGCACAAUCUCGGCUCACUGCAACCUCUACCUCCUGGGUUCAAGAGAUUCUCCUGCCUCAG